This 503-nucleotide ribosomal RNA is filed under the name uncultured bacterium. RNAcentral describes it as "partial 16S ribosomal RNA". It matches the Rfam family "Bacterial small subunit ribosomal RNA", at positions 30 to 523 of the family's 1533-position model. The record is from RNAcentral.
AUUGAACGCUGGCGGCAGGCUUAACACAUGCAAGUCGAGCGGGGUGAUGGUGCUUGCACUAUCACUUAGCGGCGGACGGGUGAGUAAUGCUUAGGAAUCUGCCUAUUAGUGGGGGACAACAUCUCGAAAGGGGUGCUAAUACCGCAUACGUCCUACGGGAGAAAGCAGGGGAUCACUUGUGACCUUGCGCUAAUAGAUGAGACUAAGUCGGAUUAGCUAGUUGGUGGGGUAAAGGCCUACCAAGGCGACGAUCUGUAGCGGGUCUGGGAGGAUGAUCCGCCACACUGGGACUGAGACACGGCCCAGACUCCUACGGGAGGCAGCAGUGGGGAAUAUUGGACAAUGGGGGGAACCCUGAUCCAGCCAUGCCGCGUGUGUGAAGAAGGCCUUAUGGUUGUAAAGCACUUUAAGCGAGGAGGAGGCUCUUUUGGUUAAUACCCAAGAUGAGUGGACGUUACUCGCAGAAUAAGCACCGGCUAACUCUGUGCCAGCCGCCGCAGUAA